Long non-coding RNA from Erigeron canadensis, 531 nucleotides. RefSeq lists it as uncharacterized. The record is from RefSeq and is a predicted model, not a curated record. NCBI's taxonomy places the organism in Eukaryota, Viridiplantae, Streptophyta, Magnoliopsida, Asterales, Asteraceae. The transcript is spliced from 4 exons.
AUGAUCCAGUGGUACAACGCCAACGCUUUUCCGAUCAACUAAAGGAUCGCCAUUCAGGAGAUGAGGAAGUAUUGCCUUUGGAUGAGACAUUCCUUACGGUUCUUGAAUACGGAAUCCCACCAAGUGCUGGCUGGGUUUUGGACAUUGAUAAGCUUACAAUGUUGCUCACCGAUUCACUAAACAUCAAGGAAGUAAUACUUUUCCCUGCUAUGAAUCCACAACAACCACUCUAUGAACCACCAGACAAAGGCGGUGUUUAUUAUUCUGUUGAGAAUAAUACGUCAAUUGCGGAGGUUCAGUCCCAGAACACAACAUCAGAAUGCAUAAUUAAGAGACGAGCUUGACCUGAAUCUAAGUAAUCUAAGAACUAGCAAACCCCAAUCGUGCAUCUUUUUAAUAUGGUGUCCUGGCCUGGGUGUGUUUGUACUUGAGGUAUGGUGUCCUGGGUGUGUUUGUACUUGAAGUUGAGAGAUUUAUAACCAGUCUUACCUUUGGCUUGAAUGCGUUGGAACUUUUUGUUGUUCUAUGUAA